AUGCGGUACAUCGCCUCCUAAUUGCUGGCUGCCCUCGGGGGUAACCCCUCCCCCAGCAACAAGGACAUCAAGAAGAUCCUGGACAGCGUGGGCAUCGAGACGGACAAUGACCGGCUCAACAAGGUUAUUAGUGAGCUGAAUGGAAAAAACAUUGAAGACGUCAUUGCCAAGAGUAUUAGCAAGCUUGCCAAUGUACCUGCUGGUGGGGCUGUGGCCGUCUCUGCUGCCCCAGGCUCUGCAGCCCCUGCAGCUGGUUCCACCCCCUGCUGCAGCAGAGGAGAAGAAAGAUGAGAAAGAGGAGUCUGA
This 306-nucleotide long non-coding RNA is filed under the name Homo sapiens (human). Its description in RNAcentral is "non-protein coding lnc-CLINT1-4:1". The record is from RNAcentral. Lineage: Eukaryota; Metazoa; Chordata; Mammalia; Primates; Hominidae.